Tympanuchus pallidicinctus (lesser prairie-chicken) is the source of this 6075-nucleotide RNA transcript. It is a transcript of the gene named potassium inwardly rectifying channel subfamily J member 16, with no coding region annotated. The transcript has 5 exons. Lineage: Eukaryota; Metazoa; Chordata; Aves; Galliformes; Phasianidae. The record is from RefSeq and is a predicted model, not a curated record.
GUCUGAACAGAGAAGUAGUGGGGCAAGCAGCAGAUUGGCUGUCGCCCAUUUCUCAAGAUGCCAGCCGUUAUCAAAGCAGACCCUCUGAGUUUGCUCAUAGGAACAAGCUGAGUUGCACAGCUGCUGGCACACAAGAAACAAAGGACCCUUGACAUAGCUUCCUCAUGGUGGCAUGAGUAAAGUUCUCUACUUUGUUCAGCACAAAGGCAUGGACGUUGCCAAUUAUAAAUGACAAACUAAUGAAGGAAGAGAAACCCACUUCUUAAACUCUGCCAACCUGUCAGUCCAGCCAUGCAAGAGAGGGAGAGAGAAAAAAGGAGGGAGUGAAGCAGAGAUUCUUUCAGAUCUCAGCAGAUAUUAAGAGACAUAUUUGAAUAAAGAGUGCAACAGGAAAGAUAGUGACUGUGUUCGUAUGUCCCCUUCCCUGGAUAUUUGAUUUACAGCAUACUCCAGAAAAUAGCAGAAAAGGAUUAUGCUUUCUGUUUCAAGGAGCAGUAAAGAAAACAGCCCCUGCAAGUGGAAGAAACCCUGUAGAAUACUGUCUCUUUUCUGCCCCCAUACUCAUACCUUAUUAAUAACCCCCUGUGUUUAGAGAAGAGGUACAGCAACACUGAACUGUAGCAAACAACAGAGCUGAGGGUGUUGGUCCUGUUAACCAAAAGUGGCGGGCAUGAUCUGAUCUCAUUCUGUCAUUGUUCAUGCCCUGCCACUUACCUAUUGUUGAAUACGUUAUUACAUCAUGUCUAUUAAGAGCUGCAACAAACUGUUCUAUUAUUCCCUGCCAGCAAGAUACAGUGGAAAAGUUCCUCGAAGAUUUUUUUCUGUGCUCGUGUAGGCUGAAUAGAACUCACAAAGCUCAAUGUGUGGAGAAUAUUGCCAAGCUAUUGAAAUCAGUGUGCGCUGAUUUUGACAUGAGUGUGUCAGGAAGAAGGAAACUGUAAUUAGUCCUAAUACUUAUAUUCAAUUGCCUCACAGCUAACUUAGAUUAAAAUUAAAGCCCAGGGGGCUGUGCCUGCUGAAGUUACUGAGAGGUUGGCUGCUGAAUUGCGCUGGAGGAAAACUGGACAUAAAAUGAAUAUUUUCAGUUCCAUAUCUGCAUAGCUGUUACAUGCAUCAGCUUUACCACUUUCUAGAACUGAGGCUGCAGGAACCCCACCAGAGAUUGAAGCUCUGAUCCUAUCAGCUCAGCCCUGAAAUGCACAGGGUUCAUACCUCAUGGGCUAAGAACCAGAAGGAGGGCUUUUCAGGCAGCAGGAAAUGAUGAUACGAUGAUUCCUGGACUCUGCUGCUCCUCUGCAGGGGGGUGGGCAGCACUGGUCACACAGCAGGGUCACCUUUAAGGGUUGGCCUCCUGUUUGCUGUGCUCCUUGCUUGGGGAUGUAGCAUAUGAAGGCAGUCCCAGCACUGAUGCAGGGAGGUGGCUGCUCCCUGGCUGAACUCUGCCUGUGCACUGCAUGUCACAUGUGUUUCUACCACCUACAGCUGCACCAGGAGAUGCUGGCAUGGAUCUGGAGCUGUUAAAAGCAUGCUGUGCCCAGCUGUCCUGGUAUAGGAGUGUCUGGGAGCUCAGGGCUGAAAAGGGGAAGAGAGUCCUGAGUUGUGAGCAGUUUCAGGUUUCACCCCUGCCAAACUGUCUGAGACAAAGAAUGGCAGUGAGGCCUGAAAUAAAGAGUUUCAAGUUGCCAGCACUUUCCAUUUCUCUUGGUAUUUCAGUGUUUCCACUGCUUGCUCUUGGCUACGACCAAGCAGUGCAUAUGGUGUGAAUAGAUUAAAAUAGACAUUUUCAGCUUUCUACAGAUUCUGGGAGUCUCUCUGAGUUGUAAUCAGGGGCCUUGCUCAUUAUAAACCUGUCCCAAGGCUCUGGUAUCCACUCUUCAUCAAGAAGUAACCAUCAGAGCCUGUCAUCUCAAACUAAAGGGGCAAAUUUCUUUCUUUCUUUUUUUUUUCUUUAGUUUUAAGGAGAUCUGGUUUCACUUAGAUGAAUUAAAUGCCAAUAUAUCUCCUACUGGGAAUUGUUUCAGUGUCGAUUGCAGCACAGUUGCAAUACUUUAAAAUGCGUGCAAAUGUCUGCUGCUUUGUGCUAUUUGUAUCUAUCUCAGAAAAUGUUUAAUAAACACUUAUACACUGAUAUUCCAGGUCUUCUUCCUGCACUGAGGUUUUGAAUUGGAAGUCCAAGAAUUAUCCUUUUCUCCGAGCUUAGCAUAUUUCAAGUGUGCUUUUAGUUCUGUAUUUGGAAUCUUUGCAGUUGAAAGACCUAUAUUCACAAAAUGAUGGAGAGGAAUGGUGUUCCUUGUAAGACAAUGCUCUCACAACUGUGUAUUUCAGUCACACUGCUGGUUGAACUGCAGCCCAGCCAACCUCUGCUGCAUUCAGUCAUCUAAUCUGAAGUGAUCAGUACAAGGAAACUUUAAUUUUAGGGAAAUUUGAGCUGUUUUAAAGCUUUGCUCCAAUGGCUGCGUAUAAAUCAUUGUGAAUUUAAGAGUUUUGCAAUCAAAGCUCAUGGUUUGGGUGUGCUCCUCUCAUUGAAGUCAACACAAGAGCAUGUAUGAUCUGACAGUGCUCUGGUUUGUAUUCGGGGAUGGAGACCCCUCUCCUUCAGCUCUGAUCCCCAGGGCUCUGGCUCUGGGAAUAUGUCAGGCUCAGUUUAGGGGAGUUUGCUUUUUCCCUCUCCUUGCAGAGAUACCCUUCAGUAAUCUGUGGGAAUCUAAGAUGAGAUGGAGAUAAAUACAAAAGAAUAUAAAUAUUCUUACUCUCCGUGUUACAGAACAAGAAUAUGACUUUUCUGAUUCAAGUAUUAGGGGUAGUUGGUUCCCUUUCUAAAAAUGAAGGGAGGGAGGCAGGAAGGCAGGCAGGAAGGCAGGCAGGAAGGAAGGAAGGCAGGAAGGAAGGAAGGAAGGAAGGAAGGAAGGAAGGAAGGAAGGAAGGAAGGAAGGAAGGAAGGAAGGAAGGAAGGAAAAGAAGAGUCUCAACUGUUCUACAAUAGAUUUAUUUAGUUUCUGUGAUGUUUUUUUGUUGGUGUUGGUUGGAUUUUUUUUUUAGGAAACAAGUAUUUGAGUCAGUUCCAAGGCAGCUCAAAAGGCUUCUACUUGUCACAUUUCUGGUCUAUGAGCUCAAAGACUUCCAGGGUUACACAACAAUGACUAAAACUGAAAACCUUUCAGACCUUUUCCAAAAUGAAGUGGGAAACUGAGGUGAUUGCUAAGCCAAUGCCAGAGAGGGAUCCACUUCCACGUGCGUGGAAUUGAGCAGAGAGGACCCAGCUUCAUUUGGAAGCUUCGAAUUGUCUUAUUUUUGAUUUAAUCUCAUGUUCAGAACAUAAUUAUUCUGGAACCAAGAUCUUCACAUUGUUUUGCUUAAUGCUUUACAAACAGACUGUUGACUGAAGUUGUCACUGAACAAAAAUUUGCUUCUACAUGUUUACAUAAUGGGAAAACACAGUCAUAAAAUGGGUGUAACAACAACUCGUUAGGUAUUAGGUUAAGGUGCAGUACAGGAAUUAUCCCCAUAAAACGCUAAACCCUAAACUCAAAAUAUCACAACGAAGUUGCAGGUUACACUUACUGAAAGCCUUUAAAAGUCUUUAAGCUUUAACAUGAUGCUUAAAGCUUCUGAGAGAGCUGAUGACAAUCAAGAGUGCUUCUUGUACAACUGCUCUAUUCAAGAGGAACCAGAUUAAGAUGAUAAAUAUAAUACAAAGGCUUGAUUCUAGUAGUGUUUGCUUUGUUGUAACUCUUAAAUGGAUGUAAUUGGGUGCUGAGUUUGUUCCUAGUUCUGCCACUGCACUACCUUAUGGCCUUUUAAACCAGUGUAUGUACUUACCUUUAUCUAAUCAGGGUGGGAAUUUCAGAGAUACCAGUUUGGGGGUCCAUGUGCUGACCCUACGAACACAGCUCUCUGCAGCAGCAAUGCUGCAGUACAUAACACAGCAAGAUCCUAGCCUUGGCUCAGAUAAUUUGCUCAGAGUAUUUGCUUAUUUUCUGAACUCUGAGACUGAUUCAUAAAGAAGACCUUCUGAACUCUCUCUGGCAUUUACCCUAAUGAAAUCUUUGAGAUUUCUUAAUUACUCUCUUCCUUCUAUCUUGCCUAAGUUUGCUGCUCAAUUUUUAUCUCUAAUAAGCCAGUGUGUAGGGGUUAAAUAUGCCUAUAUGUAUGGUUACUAAAAAUACUGUAAAUUUCCAUGCACUUUUUGCUCUGAAAGACAGGAUAGUAUGCAAGAGGAGGCUUAUAAUGUGUACAAACAUGCCCAGAAGCAAAGGGGGGAAAAUAAAACACAUACAGAAAGUAAAAGCAAGACAAAAAAGGGUGAGGGAUUGUGAUUGUUAGAGGAAGGUGAAUACACUUCCUGGCAACAUCUGAGAAUCAUUUACAGCAACUGAUCCAUGAGCCUUAGUGAGUAGGGAAUGUUUUUAAAUCCUCCCCCAUCCUCUUUGUUAAUCUUUACCAGGUAGUAGGGUCUUUAAUGCAGUUCCUACGGGCAUCUCGGGAUGUGUAAAAUAUUUUGUCCGUUUUGAAAAAUAAUAUAUUUGACAUGGCUCCAAGAUUGAGAUGCAGAAGUCUGGUUAUAAGUCUGUGGUCUUCUCCUCUUUAAACUUAGGUAGUAAUAAUAGCCUUCAGACUGCUCUGCAAAAGGCAGAAUGUCUCCGUAGAGCAAGCGAUGAACAUCUGGCCUCAGUGCCUCUUGGUUGAAAUAGGAAAAUCACUUUCAAAAGUGUCCCCAUGAAUGAAGUGCAGAUCGUAAUACAAGCUUAUAUAAUUCAGGAACAUUGAAGGAUGUUUUUUUUUUUAAACUUAAAACGUUCUGAGCAACAUCAGACAAUAUAAAAGAGUUAUUAAUUAUGAUGCAUGAUUAUUAUUGCACUCAGGAGACUUGAAGAGGUAGCCUGGAAAAGUUCAGAUUUGGCUCACCUUUAAGCACACCCAAAAUACUGGGCAACAUUUGUAGAUGUUUUUGAGUGACUGAGGAGGCUAUUUCCUAAGACUUUCAAGCACAUUUGGGAUUUUAGGUCAUUUGGGGCACGUCUCCACUGCGCAAUGCCAAAUGGCUCUGAGCAAGCCAAUUUUCAACACGAUGGAGAAAGAUUAACUGAGAGCAAUAUAUGUGUUACUUUUCCUCUGCACUGAUUCUAUUCUAAUCCACCUAGCUCCAGGGGUAGAUUAUUUGGUUCUGGUUGAAAAGGCUCUGCAUCAUGUUUCUUCUUCUUAUAGAUCUACUCUCUCUAUAUCAUAUAUUAUAUAUUACAUAUUAUAUGUUAAAUGCUAUAUAUGUUGCAUGUUUUAUAUAUAUAUGUUAUAUGUUAUAUAUUAUUUUGUAUAUUAUGUUAUAUAUUUAUUAUAUAUUAUAGGCAUACUCAUACAAUUGUUUUGCAAAAUCCAGUCCAGCAUCUGAAUGCAUGGCUUCAUUUACACCAGUCAGAACCCCACCUGAGGCACUCACAGGAAUAUAUAUAUAACCACCACCUGUGCUUAAGAGGGACCCUAAGUAGGGUGGGAUCUUAAUGCACGAGGAAUCACAAAGUUCUCUCCAGUGCAUCAUGGACUACUGUACAAUUUGGGUGGACUUUCCCACUUAGUUGCAUGUCUGACAGUCUAUCGCUGUUGCCAACACCAUCAGUACUUAAAGAUGGUACCAGCAAAACAGCAUUUCUGAAAUAAGAUUAUUUGCUGAAGGCAACAGCAGCAAGUGGAAUCAACUCAGUAGUCUUUUUUUCAUGAUCUGGGAGCUCUGUUUAGAGCAGCAAGAUGUUUGUGAGUAAUUUAAAGGCACGCUCGUCCGAAGCAGUCAAUAAGAAUAACAGCAUAAAACCUUGGUAUGUGUUGUGUAUAAUGACAUAUUGACUCCUGCUUACAAUGUGCUUCAUUUUCACACCUCACAUCAUGAGCUUCUUCAAACAAUUGCACAACAGUUUCUAGCUUUUGUUUGUUGUUAAUUAUGACUUAUAAGAUGUUAGGUCAGUAGUCGUCAAUGGACUAAGCUAAAGUGUUUGUUUAAAGCAAUGAGUAAAGCAAGUCAUAUGAAUGUUUCCAAAGACUGUAUUCCAAGAAGUAUUUUUGGAAACAUUAAUGUUGUGUUUUUUA